Molecule: ribosomal RNA, 465 nt
Filed under: uncultured Gammaproteobacteria bacterium
Lineage: Bacteria; Pseudomonadati; Pseudomonadota; Gammaproteobacteria
Description: bacterial SSU rRNA
Rfam family: Bacterial small subunit ribosomal RNA
Source: RNAcentral
CCUACGGGGGGCAGCAGUAGGGAAUAUUGGACAAUGGGCGCAAGCCUGAUCCAGCCAUGCCGCGUGAGUGAAGAAGGCCUUCGGGUUGUAAAGCUCUUUUGUCCGGAAAGAGAAGCAUCCAGUUAAUACCUGGGUGUCCUGACGGUACCGGAAGAAUAAGCACCGGCUAACUUCGUGCCAGCAGCCGCGGUAAUACGAAGGGUGCAAGCGUUACUCGGAAUUACUGGGCGUAAAGCGUGCGUAGGUGGUUUGUUAAGUCUGAUGUGAAAGCCCUGGGCUCAACCUGGGAAUGGCAUUGGAUACUGGCAGGCUAGAGUGCGGUAGAGGGUAGUGGAAUUCCCGGUGUAGCAGUGAAAUGCGUAGAGAUCACACAGAACACCAGAGGCGAAGGCGGAGUACUAGACCAUAGUUGACGCUGAGGCACGAAAGCGUGGGGAUCAAACAGGAUUAGAUACCCGUGUAGUC